GACGAACGCUGGCGGCGUGCCUAAUACAUGCAAGUCGAGCGAGCGGAACUAACAGAUUUACUUCGGUAAUGACGUUAGGAAAGCGAGCGGCGGAUGGGUGAGUAACACGUGGGGAACCUGCCCCAUAGUCUGGGAUACCACUUGGAAACAGGUGCUAAUACCGGAUAAGAAAGCAGAUCGCAUGAUCAGCUUUUAAAAGGCGGCGUAAGCUGUCGCUAUGGGGUGGCCCCGCGGUGCAUUAGCUAGUUGGUAAGGUAAAGGCUUACCAAGGCGAUGAUGCAUAGCCGAGUUGAGAGACUGAUCGGCCACAUUGGGACUGAGACACGGCCCAAACUCCUACGGGAGGCAGCAGUAGGGAAUCUUCCACAAUGGACGCAAGUCUGAUGGAGCAACGCCGCGUGAGUGAAGAAGGUUUUCGGAUCGUAAAGCUCUGUUGUUGGUGAAGAAGGAUAGAGGUAGUAACUGGCCUUUAUUUGACGGUAAUCAACCAGAAAGUCACGGCUAACUACGUG
This 512-nucleotide ribosomal RNA is filed under the name uncultured bacterium. RNAcentral describes it as "partial 16S ribosomal RNA". It matches the Rfam family "Bacterial small subunit ribosomal RNA", at positions 28 to 507 of the family's 1533-position model. The record is from RNAcentral.